This 434-nucleotide ribosomal RNA is filed under the name uncultured Clostridium sp. RNAcentral's name for it is "partial 16S ribosomal RNA". It matches the Rfam family "Bacterial small subunit ribosomal RNA", at positions 341 to 792 of the family's 1533-position model. The record is from RNAcentral. RNAcentral also lists the same sequence under 1 other name. Lineage: Bacteria; Bacillati; Bacillota; Clostridia; Eubacteriales; Clostridiaceae.
ACGGAAGGCAGCAGUGGGGAAUAUUGCACAAUGGGCGAAAGCCUGAUGCAGCGACGCCGCGUGAGUGAAGAAGUAUUUCGGUAUGUAAAGCUCUAUCAGCAGGGAAGAAAAUGACGGUACCUGACUAAGAAGCCCCGGCUAACUAUGUGCCAGCAGCCGCGGUAAUACAUAGGGGGCAAGCGUUAUCCGGAUUUACUGGGUGUAAAGGGAGCGUAGACGGCAUGGCAAGUCUGAAGUGAAAUGCGGGGGCUCAACCCCUGAACUGCUUUGGAAACUGUCAAGCUAGAGUGUCGGAGAGGUAAGUGGAAUUCCUAGUGUAGCGGUGAAAUGCGUAGAUAUUAGGAGGAACACCAGCGGCGAAGGCGGCUUACUGGACGAUAACUGACGUUGAGGCUCGAAAGCGUGGGGAGCAAACAGGAUUAGAUACCCUGGUA